Long non-coding RNA from Raphanus sativus (radish), 813 nucleotides. RefSeq lists it as uncharacterized. The record is from RefSeq and is a predicted model, not a curated record. Lineage: Eukaryota; Viridiplantae; Streptophyta; Magnoliopsida; Brassicales; Brassicaceae. The transcript has 4 exons.
UCUGAUGCCGUUUCCCCUUCUUCACACCAGUCGAAACGGUCUGAGUAAAGGCUUAGUGAUUAAUCUCAUUGAUUCACUACCCCACUGCGUCGUCUUCAAUGUUUCUUUGAUCUGAAAGGCGGUGAAUUCUUAUUAUAAAUAUGUGUAAGUGCUUCUCUCCUUAAUCUCAUCUUAUCUUAGUAUCUCUUUUAUUUCAUACUAAUAGAUCUGUGUUAUGGCUAAUUCCAGGAUUUUUUUCUCCGAGUGGGAGGGUUCAUAGCAAGCGGCGGAGCAAGCGGGAGGAGGGCUUAUGGACCAGGCGACGGGCAUAUCAAGAUGGAUAGCCAUGGAACAAGUUACGGAGAGUGUGAAGAGAGAGAUAACAAAGUCGAUUGCUGCAGUUUAAGCUCUCACAUGGGAGGUGAUAGGCUCUCGGAUGUGAGUUUAUAAGAGCUGGAAUUUUUUUUUUGUACGAUAAAUGGAAUGAAGGAUUGGUUUAAGUUGAUUUCUUCGUGCAAAUAGGGAUAGCGCUGGAGUAAGAAACCGAGAGAACGAGAUGGAGAGCAACAGAGUAAGUGACAGAGAUAUUGAGAUGAAGAGCAACGGAGAAGUCGAGAUAGAUAUAGAGACACGAAACAAAUAUUGGCAUCGUUCACGAUUCUUAUGUGAAUGGAGAAGUACGAGGACUACUUGAAGCUCAAAUCAAGAGUAGAGAUCUUACAACAUUCACAACGGCAUUUGCUAGGUGAAGAGAUAGCCGGGAUGGCAGUGGAUGAGCUUGAGCAGCUACAAAUCAAGUAGAUACAUCACUUAGACAGAUAAGAUCCACAAAGG